ACACGUAGGGGGCAAGCGUUGUUCGGAAUUAUUGGGCGUAAAGGGCAUGUAGGCGGUUUGGUAAGCCUGAUGUGAAAUCCUGCAGCUUAACUGUAGAAUUGCAUUGGGUACUGCCAGACUUGAAUCAUAGAGGGGAAACUAGAAUUUCAGGUGUAGGGGUGGAAUCUGUAGAUAUCUGAAAGAAUACCGGUGGCGAAGGCGGGUUUCUAGCUAAUGAUUGACGCUGAGGUGCGAAAGUGCGGGGAGCAAACAGGAUUAGAUACCCUGGUAGUCCGCACUGUAAACGAUGUACACUAGGUGUCGGGGCAUGAGUCUCGGUGCCAAAGCUAACGUAAUAAGUGUACCGCCUGGGAAGUAUGCUCGCAAGGGUGAA
This 373-nucleotide ribosomal RNA is filed under the name uncultured bacterium. Its description in RNAcentral is "bacterial SSU rRNA". It matches the Rfam family "Bacterial small subunit ribosomal RNA", at positions 523 to 898 of the family's 1533-position model. The record is from RNAcentral.